CAGCCGCCGCGGGAAUACGUAGGGUGCGAGCGUUAAUCGGAAUUACUGGGCGUAAAGCGUGCGCAGGCGGUUUUGUAAGACAGGCGUGAAAUCCCCGGGCUCAACCUGGGAAUGGCGCUUGUGACUGCAAAGCUAGAGUGCGGCAGAGGGGGAUGGAAUUCCGCGUGUAGCAGUGAAAUGCGUAGAUAUGCGGAGGAACACCGAUGGCGAAGGCAAUCCCCUGGGCCUGCACUGACGCUCAUGCACGAAAGCGUGGGGAGCAAACAGGAUUAGAUACCCGCGUAGUCCCUGUCUCUUAUAC
Molecule: ribosomal RNA, 301 nt
Filed under: uncultured bacterium
Lineage: Bacteria
Description: partial 16S ribosomal RNA
Rfam family: Bacterial small subunit ribosomal RNA
Source: RNAcentral